AUACGGGAGGCAGCAGUGGGGAAUUUUGGACAAUGGGCGAAAGCCUGAUCCAGCGACGCCGCGUGGAGGAUGAAGGUCUUCGGAUUGUAAACUCCUUUUAGAGGGAACGAAUAAAUUGACGGUACUCUCAGAAAAAGCCACGGCUAACUACGUGCCAGCAGCCGCGGUAAUACGUAGGUGGCGAGCGUUACUCGGAAUUACUAGGCGUAAAGCGCUUGUAGGUGGUUGGAUAAGUCUGUAGUGAAAUUUCACGGCUUAACUGUGAAAGGUCUACGGAAACUAUCCGGCUUGAGUGUGGUAGGGGUUGACGGAAUUCCCGGUGUAGCGGUGAAAUGCGUAGAUAUCGGGGGGAACACCAAUGGCGAAAGCAGUCAACUGGGCCAAUACUGACGCUGAGGAGCGAAAGCUAGGGGAGCAAACAGGAUUAGAUACCCGAGUA
This 439-nucleotide ribosomal RNA is filed under the name uncultured bacterium. RNAcentral's name for it is "bacterial SSU rRNA". It matches the Rfam family "Bacterial small subunit ribosomal RNA", at positions 339 to 792 of the family's 1533-position model. The record is from RNAcentral.